CUACAAUGGCGUAAACANAGGGAAGCGAGCCCGCGAGGGGGAGCGAAUCCCAAAAAUAAACGUCCCAGUUCGGAUUGUAGUCUGCAACCCGACUACAUGAAGCUGGAAUCGCUAGUAAUCGCGGAUCAGAAUGCCGCGGUGAAUACGUUCCCGGGUCUUGUACACACCGCCCGUCACACCAUGAGAGUCGGGAACACCCGAAGUCCGUAGCCUAACCGCAAGGAGGGCGCGGCCGAAGGUGGGUUCGAUAAUUGGGGUGAAGUCGUAACAAGGUACC
RNAcentral lists this ribosomal RNA (277 nucleotides) under uncultured bacterium. RNAcentral's name for it is "partial 16S ribosomal RNA". It matches the Rfam family "Bacterial small subunit ribosomal RNA", at positions 1225 to 1500 of the family's 1533-position model. The record is from RNAcentral.